Folsomia candida is the source of this 1685-nucleotide long non-coding RNA. RefSeq lists it as uncharacterized. The record is from RefSeq and is a predicted model, not a curated record. NCBI's taxonomy places the organism in Eukaryota, Metazoa, Arthropoda, Collembola, Entomobryomorpha, Isotomidae. The transcript is spliced from 5 exons.
UCCAUCCAGUCGUUAAGUGCACACAUUUUACUCCACAUGUGACUUUGUCAUGACCAAAUUGUAUAUCAUCUCUAUUUUCACAUAGAAACAGCCAGUUAUCUUGUAUCCUUGCUUUUAUCAUGACAAAAUUUUUGGAAAAUGUAAGGUUUUUACAAGUCGAGGUAAAGUGUGGGGGGGGGGGUGAUUGCGUAGGGGUGGUUGACUGUGGUGUAGUAGGACAACUGGAGAAGUUAGGUUUACGCGUUAUUUGUGGUCCUUGUGACGGGAACUGGUCAACCUGUGAAAGACCUUAUUUAGUGAAAUUGGUCGAUUAAGAAGGUUGCUGUUCAAAAAACAGGUUACACUAGUCAAAUUCGGAUUCGGAAAUGAAUUAUUAUUCAAAAAUGAAUCUGGACCUCUCCAUUGCAAAAUUUGGAUUCAAGUUUAGAUCGCGAUUACAUUUAUUUCAUUAAAGGAACACUACUUAUUUUGAUUAAAAUUGUGUCUGGAAUAGUGUGCAACACCAAUGCAGUUACAAUGGGAAGACUGUAUUAAAAAUGGGACAACAAUCACCAGGACAUCGUUCGUAUUCACUUUACAAUGCGCCAUCUAGUUCUAAUUAGGUUAAGAGACAAAUAUUAGGUUAAGUCAUACAACAGAAUUUUGCAUAAUCUUGUCCGGCUUAAAGCAAACUAAAUCGUGCGUAACACAAAACGAUCCAAAUUUAUCGAAUCACAAAGUCUUUAAAUCGUUAUAUCUUAAAAAAAUACCUGGUAUUUGUACUGAAUUAUAAAAACUACUAGGAUUUUAAACUUUGUUGUUAUGUGUGACUUCAAAAUUUUUGGUCCAUUUCAGACAAUAAUUAGUUAAUUCAGCUGGAAAGCAAUUUUGUAGCUCAUACAUAUUUUGCCUGAUUAACGACCUUUCUUAAUUCAUUCUUCAAACUUUUGACAUGCCGGUUAUUUAAUUGUUUAAAACAAUUUCAUCUUCACAUUCGUGCUAAAUUUUUAACACUUUUUAACACUAUGUAUCGUGUAAAGCUGGCUAGUGCUGUAAUCUAAAUAAUUUUGUCCGCUUCGGGUCACCAUGAUCUUACUUAGACAAAGGGCAGAAAACAAAAGUUAACCCUUAGCCGAGGAGAAACGGUAACUAUGUUUGGCGUUGCUGCGGGGCGUUUCGAUGACCACAAUUGUGAUCAUUCGGGAAGCCAAAAAAUAAUUAUUCGGGAGGAAAUUCGUUACAGCUACCCCCACAACUUUCGUAAACUCAACUCGUUUACCACGCAAAUAUCCGGGUCUGGGUCAGCCAAUCGUAGAGGAAUGUCAGGUCAUAUAGUUUCGUUUGUUGGAUACGAUAAUAGUAUGAAUGAUAAUGCGUUUUCACAGUCAUUCGCUUUGUUGGAGGUUUGUUGGGAAAGCAAUCAUUAACCUCUAUUAAUAAUAUAAUAAGACAUGUACCCUUCAGUGAUGGCGUUGGGCAUGUUCAAAAUGGUGACGAGGAGGUAUCCACGCACGUACCACAGCCUUAUUUACAUGAUACAUUGGUUAUUCCAUCCUAAAGCUUAUUAAGCCAGUCGGCGUUUUUACUAUAGAAAUUGUGUAUGGCAAAUAAGUAAUUUUUAGGCACAAUAAUUUUCCUUGUAAUUAGUGUAUCUUUACAGGAAAGAAAAGAUUUAAUUUUGUUAAUAUAAAAGUUCCUAAAUGUAA